Molecule: long non-coding RNA, 1326 nt
Organism: Balaenoptera acutorostrata (minke whale)
Lineage: Eukaryota; Metazoa; Chordata; Mammalia; Artiodactyla; Balaenopteridae
Exons: 3
Source: RefSeq, a predicted model, not a curated record
CUCGCAGGCCGCAGGCGGGGCCGGACCUGUCCUCAAGCCAGUCUUCCCGGGUACCCUGCGUGUGCCUCCGUCUACGGAGGCUGCCUCACUAAACUCUGAGACUAUGUCUUGGUGGUUAGCUCCCAGACUGAAAACAGCGGAAAGAGAAGUGCUCCAGUACACAUGUGAAUGUAAGUUCCACGAGAGCAGAGACUGUAUCUUGUUUAUCCAUGCAUCUCCAGCUCCGAGCACAAGGAAUGCUCACACAUGACCUGUGGUCCAAAAUCAUACCAGGAAGGUAUGAGCUCCAUUUGAUCCAUAAGGAAACAGAGGCUCAAAAAGCUUAAGUCAUCUGCCCAAGGUCACAGAGCUAGAAGUGGAGGAGCUGGGAUUCAAACCCGAGUCCUGCUUCAGCUUCAGAGAUGAAGAGUCAGUUAAAGAAUAAAUAGAAAGAAAGGAUAUGACAAGUUUGUAAGUACUCUCUAGUUUUUCAUCUUUAAAAAAUGUAGGUGUAAAUUUGUAAUUUUUUGGUUUUGCACGGUAGAGGACUUCCCUUAAGCAGCAGAUGAACGAGGAAGGAAAAAUUCAGGUUAAUUCAAAAUCAAAACAGGCAAAGCAAUCCUGACAAACCAUUUUUUUAGUAAAACACGGUAGUAAAAUUGAAAACAAAACCCCCCAAGCCACCACCAGUGCUGCUGAGAUUGUUGUAAAACUGGUUUCUGCCUCUUGGCAAGCGGCCUGUAUUUUUAGUUCACACUAUGUGUUAGUUUCUAAUUAUUGUGUAAUGAGCUGAUAAAUGCCACCGUCCUGUACUAGACUGGAAGCGACAGGAGGGCAGGGUCUGUCUAUCUUGCUCAUCUUAUGCUCCUAGAGCUCAGUGCCUAGCGCGAGUAGAUACUCAAUUUGUAACUGUUGCAUAAAUGGAUAUUGCUGUUGCCAUGAUUAACUUUUUGGAAGAGAAUCAGGCAAUAUAUAGUAAGAGCUAUAAGAUAAAAUAUUAUUUAACUAGUAAUCUACUCCUGUGAGGAAAAAAUAUUCAACAAAAGCCAAAAAAAAAAAAAAGAAGAAAGAAAGAAAGAAAAGACAUGAAGAUAUUCAUUCCUUAAAGAAGAUGUGGUACAUAUAUACGACGGAAUAUUACUCAGCCAUAAAAACGAACGAAAUUGGGUCAUUUGUAGUGACGUGGAUGGACCUGGAGACUGUCAUAUAGAGUGAAGUAAGUCAGAAAGAGAAAAACAAAUAUCGUAUAUUAACGCAUAUAUGUGGAAUCUAGAAAAAUGGUACAGAUGAACUGGUUUGCAAGGCAGAAAUAGAGACACAGAUGUAGAGAACAAACGUAUGGACACC